GGCGAACGGGUGAGUAACACGUGGGUGAUCUGCCUUGCACUUCGGGAUAAGCCUGGGAAACUGGGUCUAAUACCGGAUAGGACCAUGCUUUAGUGUGUGUGGUGGAAAGUUUUUCGGUGCAAGAUGAGCCCGCGGCCUAUCAGCUUGUUGGUGGGGUAAUGGCCUACCAAGGCGUCGAUGGGUAGCCGGCCUGAGAGGGUGUACGGCCACAUUGGGACUGAGAUACGGCCCAG
Molecule: ribosomal RNA, 233 nt
Filed under: uncultured Actinomycetales bacterium
Lineage: Bacteria; Bacillati; Actinomycetota; Actinomycetes; Actinomycetales
Description: partial 16S ribosomal RNA
Rfam family: Bacterial small subunit ribosomal RNA
Source: RNAcentral